CAGCCGCCGCGGUAAUACGUAGGGAGCGAGCGUUAUCCGGAUUUAUUGGGCGUAAAGCGUCCGCAGCCGGUUUAUUAAGUAUAGAAUUAAAGCCUGGGGCUCAACCCCAGUUCGUUCUAUAAACUGAUAGGCUAGAGUGUGGUAGAGGCAAGUGGAAUUUCUAGUGUAGCGGUAAAAUGCGUAGAUAUUAGAAGGAACACCAGUGGCGAAGGCGACUUGCUGGGCCAUCACUGACGGUCAGGGACGAAAGCGUGGGGAGCAAAUAGGAUUAGAUACCCUAGUAGUCCACGCCGUAAACUAUGAGUACUAAGUGUCGGGUUACCGGUGCUGAAGUUAACACAUUAAGUACUCCGCCUGAGUAGUACGGUCGCAAGGCUGAAACUUAAAGGAAUUGACGGGCACCCGCACAAGCGGUGGAGCAUGCUGUUUAAUUCGAAACUACGCGAAAAACCUUACCUAGAUUUGACAUCCCGGGCAAAGCUAUAGAAAUAUAGUGGAGGCUAUCCCGGUGACAGAUGGUGCAUGGCC
Molecule: ribosomal RNA, 528 nt
Filed under: uncultured archaeon
Lineage: Archaea
Description: bacterial SSU rRNA
Rfam family: Bacterial small subunit ribosomal RNA
Source: RNAcentral